AUCCCAGAUAAUGGUUCUAAUGAUUAUCUGAUUCAUGAGGGGCAAAGAAUAAGGAUGGAGAGUUCGCUGAUAGCACCUUAAUUUUAAGAAGGUGUUUUGAUAGUACCUCGCCACACAAUU
Corchorus capsularis is the source of this 120-nucleotide small nucleolar RNA. NCBI's taxonomy places the organism in Eukaryota, Viridiplantae, Streptophyta, Magnoliopsida, Malvales, Malvaceae. The record is from Rfam.